CGACACCCCAUCACUCCUGCGCAUGCUUCCAAAGAUCACAACAUCACACGUGCAGACACCUGUCCCAGCAGAAAAACUAAGGGAAAUGGGGUCCUGUUUGGCUACAGGAUUCGCCAUAUUUUUUUUUAAUGGUGUGUCCUCCACUGAUGGAUAAUCUGUUCACCUUAAAAAUAAAAGAUUGUCUGGUUCUUCCAUGGAUGUGAGAGGAAAGACACCAUCCUCACUGUCCACCAUCAGCAUUGGAGCAUUGAAACAGCUGUUACCUGCAAGAGACUGGACCACUGAAGUCAGGUGAUUGAUCUUCAUGUCUCCAGAAUUGCCCUCUCAACAGCUGCAAUACAGUAGGUUUGUCUGGGAGAGUAUCUUUAUUAAACUAUAAAAUGCAUAAUUUUACAAAUUUAGAACUUCAAUUUAAUGUACGUAUACAUUGAUCAGUGGUGCAACUCCAUCCUCUCACACCAGAAGCACCUGCAAGCACAAAAAGCUCUUAAAUGUGAUUAAACCACCACUUAUAAAAAUGCUGUUGUAGCGAAUGCUAUGGUUACUUGUUUAAAGCCUUUAACAAUUGCAUUGCUUAAAAACAAAAAACAUUGUGCAUAUCUAGGGGAUUGGUUGCUUGUAUGUAUGAAUGUAGUUAUGAAAUGCUUACAGCUGCACAUGUGACCCAUGUUAGUUUUUUUAAUACGUUAUGCAUCUAAGGGCAAACAUUACCAUAUUGGUCCUAAUUGGUCCUAAUGUAAUGUUAGAUUUCUCUAAAACACAAAAAAGGGAAUACACAAUUUUGAAGCCUGGUAUUUGGACGCAUGUGAUAAACCAUCACAUUUGGCAAGAAGCGAAAAGCCCCUGCACAUUUGUCUUUAAAAGAUCCAAGGUCUAUUCAUUAGCCACAGAGAAAUUCACAGAAAUCAGAGGCAACUAUAAGGAGUGUCCUGGCAACAUUAACAUAAAAAGAGACAGAGCCUGAAAUGAAUAGCUCACUGGUGCUCAAGUGUUUAAUUAAAAACACUGAUGACUCCCUGCACACUGGCUGUUCCAAGCAUGCGAUGUCUGGUAACUUGCGUGUGCAGAUAGCCAAAGAAUUGUGUGAGGGUAGAAUGGAACCCCAUGUAUGGAGGGCAUCAGAGGCAACAAAGCUGAUGGAUCCAAAAGCUGGAAGAUCCUGAGCCUAGCUAUCUGCCUAAUUUGGCCACCCUGCACAAAGCAAAGCAAGAGAGAAAUGACUUAGAAUUAGGCGACAAGGAUCCUAUUUUGUCACUGCAGAUGCUAAAAUACAGUGCACCUCAUAGUGGUAGCAUUAAAGACAUUGGACUGGACAAGUUUUUCUGUCACUACUCGGCUGACAGAAUGGAUACGUUCAGUUGCACCAAUUCCAAAAGAGGUUGUGAGUAACUUUUCUGUGGCUUUGCUCAGAGCUCUGGUCAAGGCUUUUACUCCUCAUCCUGAUCUGAAGACCUAUAUCAAUGAGUGUUGUCGUGUCUUAGUCGAUAAAGAGUCAGCAAAACUGUCACCUUGUUUUGUUCAGGUUGAUGUUGCACACUGCAUCAAGUUGAUCUGCCAGUGGGACUGCUUGAAGAAAAAAAAAUUGCAUUAAAGAUUUCUUUGUGAGGUCAACAGCACAGCUUCUCAAGUCACAGUCCACGGAAAAUUCAAGAGAGCUACUAAGCAGUAUUACUAUUGUGGCUCUCAGCAAAGCAGAGGGCAGUGACAGCUCUGGAGCCCUUCUUAUAUCAGAAAGGUGCAAGAAAUACCUGAAAGUCCGAAUUGCAGAAGAGUGUGUAAUCAUUCCAGAUGUAGAGGGUGAAGACUUGGAAGAAGUGGAUACAUGUAACCAAACACAGACAGACCUACAGCAGUAGGUGACAGACAUAUGUGAGGAGAACCGGUCACUUGCCGUGGCCAACGGUGAUCAUGAUAAUAUGCACUUCCUCCCUGAGAUUAUUCCCAAUAUAAUCUGGCUUUCAAGUCAGGGGUCAUGGUCCGUCUCUUACGAAGCACCAUCACCGCAAGUUGAGCCAAUAUUGAGGCACUGUUCAAAAAUAUCAAACGUGCACUUUUCAAGCAUGAAAACUUGCCUAUUUGGGUGGAUAGAUUCAUUGCUCGACAUCUGUCCUUCAUUGAAGGAAAUAUGUGAAUUUGUUCUGCAAAACAAAAUGGUGAAGAAGAUGCAGCUGUUGCAACAGGGAUCAUCACAGGAGCCAAUCCACUACCCACCACAACUUGCAGUGUAGACGGAAAACCAGAAAUAGAUGCUUCCUGUUCUGGGAAGUCUGACACUGUCACAAACAUCCAUCCAACAGAUGAAGAUGCUGUUGAAAACUGGAGAGGCCUAGUGGUUUCACCCAAAAAGAGGAAGAGGAAGUCAUACCUCUCUCCUUGUCCUGAAUAGCUCCAUGCAGAUCCAUCUGUGAGGGGGAAAAGACUAAAAGUGGAAGUGUUGAAAAAUGGAAAUAAUAAACAGCCUGUUAAACUCAGGAAAUCAAGAAUCUUUGUGCUGAACACAUGUGCAUUUGAUGCUGUUUGUCAAUGCUUAUGUUGUGCUUUCUGCGAUAGUGUCACUUUUGGAAAUAUUGUUUUCGGUGAGGACUCCAACAACCUCCUCCAGCUAGUGAAAACAAUCAGCACAAAGGGUCUGAAUGCACAGGUCUCCAUACAGAGGGCAGAGCUGCUGAGUGGAAUAUUCAAAGCUGUCCAAUUGAAGUCUGGUGCUCUCCAAAUCGAUGCACAGUGCUACAUAUCCACUAUCAUUAUCAAAGUGAUAAAAACGUGACAAAACGUGCAUGUGUUUUCUUCACACAACAGUGUUCCUCACAGUAUUGCAGUCUCAGCACAGAAGUCACAAGGGAAAUUCCAUUUUUUUGUACUUCUGUUGCUGUACUGCAGGCCUCUGGCAUGGCUCAUCUUCAGACCGCGGUGGAAGAAGGCCUUAACCUUCCGGAGUCCCCCUGCCUUAGGCCAAUCCAAAGUCCGUCACAGUGUCCCUCUGCAUUCAAGACAGACUCUACCUCAGAAAAAGUGCUCUGUGCAGGGAAAGUUUCUCACAGUUACAGUCUGGGAGAACUUCUGUGGAUUGGCACUGACCUGGGAAGCACCUCCACAGAAUUUCCUGUGUGUGAAUUUCCCUCCAAUCUGAUGCUCCAAGGAGAGAGAUUUACUUUAAGGGCAGUCAUUGCUUUCAGAGGAGGCUUAACCCAGGAUGCUCUUAGACAUUAUAUGGCCUACUGCAGGAGGUCUCCAUGUGUCUGGGAGAUGUAUGACGACCUGACCAGUAGAGUGACAGGACUGUCAGAAAAAAAACAAAAUAUGCCCACAUGCUGUGUUAUACACAAAAGACUGAUUGCACUGUUUAAAUUUAACUUUACAAGUUCAAGUAUUUUUGUUGUAGGCCACACACAGUUUUCCUACUCCUGCUUGGAGAAGUCUUCUUUGCUUUUCUGGAAGUCUGGCUUGAUGGUGUUUCUACUCAAGUCUUGGUUUGAAGACAGAGAGUGGCUUGUCAGUAUUAAGUUUAAGUUUUUAAAGGUCCAUUAUUUGUGUUAAUGGAUGUUUGAUAGUACACAGUAAUUCAAUUUCACAAGUAAAAGCAUUUUGGCUUAAUUCUUAAUUCACUGAGUCAUCCACACACAUGCGCGUGUGUGUUUGUGUGUGUGUGUGUGACACACACAUACGCCCUAUGUAUGUAUAAACACAGAGCUACAGCAAACAGAUUAUGGUGCGUGUAUUUAUUUAUGACAGUGUUAAUGUUACUGCUGUUAUUCACAUAACAUACAGUAACAAGUAAAAACACUUACGUUGGAGUUCGUGUGACAUUUCACACAUCAUGUGAUCCGCUGUGUCCAUUAAAAGUGUCCGUUAAAAGUUGAAAAUCCACAGUGGUUAGGUAACAAUUAAGUGAAUGCGACUAUUUAAUGUGAUUUGAUUUGUUGUUUGGAUUUUACAUUGUUAUUUCAACUGUAUUGUUUAAAAAAAAAACAAAAAUGGCACAAACCAGCACAAACAGAACACAAACAAACCAGACUAUUUUGGGUGAAUUUGGAGCAUGUGUGGGGCUGAGUGACCUCAGAAUGACUUAUAAAAUAUUAUAUUAAUAUACCAAAAACUGAAGCAGCACAAAUGAAAAAUUUUUAUGGCACAAACCAGCACAAAUGGAGCACAAACGAUUGAGAAUAUUUUGCCAACAAUGGGGGGCCAACUUCACGCAGGUUCUUGUAACAGGACCUGAAAAAAAGACACUUAUGUCUAGCAAUCAUUUAACUGGUUUCAUUGUAUUUUUACCUUUUGCCUUGAUGAUGGCACGCGGGGCUUUUGGUGCAGGUGGAACUUUUUCUUUAUUACUAAUUUAUUUUAUUUUUUUGUGGGGGUAUCAUGAAGCUCAUCAUCUGAUGAGUAAAUAUUCUUUCUAAGACCAAAAUCAGGGUAUUAGAUUAUUUUACAAAGAAGGAUUUGAUAAGUAAUAACACUGCCCUGUUUGUCAACUGAAAGAAAAAAAUCUACCCAACAAAAACCAUUAUGUUUUGCAACCGUGGCAGUCAAGCUCUAAAAAGGGUCCAUACUGCUUAUAUCAUCUUUCUUUUACUUAUUCUAUGUUCAGUGUUCUAUAUACUAAGUCUUCUAACACCAUACAAUAACUUUAUAAAAACCUCUUCUUGUUUAAAUCUGGCAUGAUUCUUUCUUUGAAUCAAACUGAUACUACUUCAGUUUGAUACUGAUACUACUUCUCCAGUCUCAAAAUUAUUCAACACUUUCAUGGCAAGUAGGGCUGCAACUAACAAUUAUUUUCAUAAUCAUCCACGAACUGAGUAUUACAAAUAUAAACUUCAGACUAAAACUUUACACAACUGUUUAUCCAAUUAUGUAAGACUGAAAAGAACCCAAUACACUCAGACACACACCAGAAUAUAUAUUAUUAAUUUAGGACUGUAGUUUAAUUCAGUGCUUUUUGUGCAUCCAUAAAAAGGAAUUAGCCUGGGGAAGGGCGGCGUACAGACCCACAGGAGGCAGAAGAACGUUCACAAACGGUGGUUUAUUGGUGCAAGGGUGAAGUGAGUGGGUUGUGAGGGGAUGAGUGCGGGGCUUGUGGAGGCUUGACUGCCGGUGUAGCCUACUCGUGGUGGAGGCGGGAUUCCCGAGACGGGGGCGAGGGUUUUCCCGGGCCGGCGUCCUCCGUAGGUGGGACUCUCACCACCCGGCGAUCUUGUCCGCGCUUGCAACUUUUGUGGAGAGAGAGAGAGAGAGAGAGAGAGAGAGAGAGAGAUUAGCGUGGGGGCGUGAGGUUACCGUCGUGCUCGGUGAUUACGAAUCGCUAUGUCGCUGGAAAACACGCACGGAGUCCGUCUUGUCGCUACGGUAUUCUCUUCUCUCGUACGGCCGGAAGCGCGCCCUUUUAUCCUCCUCCGCCGUCGCCUGAGUGGUGGAAUUUCUCCGUUGUGUCCGCCAAUCGCUGGCCGGUGUUGCGUCAGUCCCGCCCCGCCGCGGCGGUCCUUCUGGCUGGCGGAAUGUUCGGCACGAAGCUGCCCACGUCGUGCCGGUGCGGCAGUUGGAGAAGGAGCGAUUUCCUUCUUGUGUGCGCCGGCUCUCUGCCCGUCGCGACAGACCUUUCUAAAAUUCAGACACUAGACGGUAGAGAAUACAGUGCAUAGUGUAAGUGUAUAGUACAUCAUUUGGGACACAACUUUAGUAUUUACGCUCCGAAGCGUGUUUUCUGAACAGAAGUAAUGUAAUGAGUAAAUGUAUCCCGUGCCGCGUGCAGACCAACUAAUCAAUAAUGAGGUCCGUUGACAACGAUUUUCAUAAUCGACUAUUUUCAAUUUUAUUGAUUAGUUGUUGCAGCUCUAAUGGCAAACAUCUUUAGUACUUAGUAGAACACCCUUUUGCUGUUAUGAUCUGCUGCAAAUGAGAUGCAUAGCCAGACACAAGCUUCUGGCAGUGUUCCCAAGAAAUCUUAGCCCAUUCCUCAUGAGCAAUGGCCUCCAGUUCAGUAAUAUUCUUGGGUUUUGCGUGCUGCAACCGCCUUCUUCAAAUCCCACCAGAGAUUUUCGUUGGGGUUCAAGUCAGGUGACUGUGAUGGCCCUGUAGAAUCUUCCAUGACUAGAAUUUGAGGUAUGCUUGGGACCAAUGGGGUAUAAGCUUGGGAUCAAGCCCAAGCUUCAUUUUCCUCACAGACAGCAUGAUAUUUUCUCCUAGGGUUUCCUGAUACUUCAAUGAAUCCAUCUUGCCUUCCACAUGCUGCAGGUUUCCAGUGUCAGAGGAUGCAAAACAGCCCCAGAGCAUCACCAAGCCACCACCAUGCUUGACUGUGGACAGAGUGUUCUUUCUUCAUUCUUCUUCCUCCAGUCAUACUGCUGUUCCAUCAUGCCAAAACGUUCCAGUUUUGUUUCAUCGCUCCACAGAAAAGAAUCCCAAAACUUCCAUGGCUUAUUUAUAUGAUUGUGAGGCCAUUUUUCUUGUGCUUUUGGUUCAGUAGUGGUUCUGGCAGUUCUGGAGACUUGGAGUUCUGCCAUGGAAACCGUGUGUGUGUGUGUGUGUGUGUGUG
Ictalurus punctatus (channel catfish) is the source of this 6529-nucleotide long non-coding RNA. RefSeq lists it as uncharacterized. The transcript has 3 exons. Lineage: Eukaryota; Metazoa; Chordata; Actinopteri; Siluriformes; Ictaluridae. The record is from RefSeq and is a predicted model, not a curated record.